GGAUAACGUGCCCUUAAGAGGAGGAUAAUCUCGGGAAAUUGAGGAUAAUACUCCAUAGAUCAUGGGACCUGGAAUGGCCCAUGGUUCAAAGUUCCGGCGCUUAAGGAUCGGUCUGCGGCCUAUCAGGUAGUAGUGGGUGUAACGUACCUACUAGCCUAUGACGGGUAUGGGCCUUGAGAGAGGGAGCCCAGAGUUGGAUUCUGAGACACGAAUCCAGGCCCUACGGGGCGCAGCAGUCGCGAAAACUUCACAAUGGGGGCAACCCCGAUGAGGGAAUUCCUAGUGCUAGCACAUUUGUGUUAGCUUUUCUUUAGCUUAGAAAACUAGAGGAAUAAGGGCUGGGUAAGACAGGUGCCAGCCGCCGCGGUAAUACCUGCAGCCCAAGUGGUGGUCGAUUUUAUUGAGUCUAAAACGUUCGUAGCCGGUUCGGUAAAUCUUUGGGUAAAUCGGGGGGGCUUAACCUUCCGACUUCCGAGGAGACUGCCGAACUUGGGACCGGGAGAGGCUAGAGGUACUUCUGGGGUAGGGGUAAAAUCCUGUAAUCCUAGAAGGACCACCGGUGGCGAAGGCGUCUAGCUAGAACGGAUCCGACGGUGAGGGACGAAGCCCUGGGUCGCAAACGGGAUUAGAUACCCCGGUAGUCCAGGGUGUAAACGCUGCAGACUUGGUGUUGGAGGCCCUUUGGGGGGCAUUCAGUGCCGGAGAGAAGUUGUUAAGUCUGCUACUUGGGGAGUACGUCCGCAAGGAUGAAACU
This 754-nucleotide ribosomal RNA is filed under the name uncultured Methanomassiliicoccus sp. RNAcentral's name for it is "bacterial SSU rRNA". It matches the Rfam family "Archaeal small subunit ribosomal RNA", at positions 102 to 856 of the family's 1478-position model. Lineage: Archaea; Methanobacteriati; Thermoplasmatota; Thermoplasmata; Methanomassiliicoccales; Methanomassiliicoccaceae. The record is from RNAcentral.